UACGAAGGGGGCUAGCGUUGCUCGGAAUCACUGGGCGUAAAGCGCACGUAGGCGGAUUGCUAAGUCAGGGGUGAAAUCCUGGAGCCCAACUCCAGAACUGCCUUUGAUACUGGCGAUCUCGAGUCCGGGAGAGGUGAGUGGAACUGCGAGUGUAGAGGUGAAAUUCGUAGAUAUUCGCAAGAACACCAGUGGCGAAGGCGGCUCACUGGCCCGGUACUGACGCUGAGGUGCGAAAGCGUGGGGAGCAAACAGG
RNAcentral lists this ribosomal RNA (253 nucleotides) under uncultured bacterium. Its description in RNAcentral is "partial 16S ribosomal RNA". It matches the Rfam family "Bacterial small subunit ribosomal RNA", at positions 524 to 776 of the family's 1533-position model. The record is from RNAcentral.